AAGGAUAUACUUUCAGGAAUCAUUUCUAUAGUUUGCUACUAAACAAAUAUGAAUAGACAUUACUUCAGAGCAGUUUUAGGUGC
Molecule: small nucleolar RNA, 83 nt
Filed under: Suricata suricatta (meerkat)
Lineage: Eukaryota; Metazoa; Chordata; Mammalia; Carnivora; Herpestidae
Description: Small nucleolar RNA U3 (ENSSSUG00005017948.1)
Rfam family: Small nucleolar RNA U3
About the family: Small nucleolar RNAs (snoRNAs) are involved in the processing and modification of rRNA in the nucleolus. There are two main classes of snoRNAs: the box C/D class, and the box H/ACA class. U3 snoRNA is a member of the box C/D class.
Source: Rfam by way of RNAcentral